Long non-coding RNA from Egretta garzetta (little egret), 3131 nucleotides. RefSeq lists it as uncharacterized. The record is from RefSeq and is a predicted model, not a curated record. The transcript is spliced from 3 exons. Lineage: Eukaryota; Metazoa; Chordata; Aves; Pelecaniformes; Ardeidae.
GAAGUCAUGAACCUGAGCCUACUGAGAACACAGCUGGAGUUUCUAAGUAAGGGAUCUCCUCAGGGCAGAAGAAGUUUCCAUUUGAGAAAGUGACUAAUGAUCUCCUGUGGGACUAUAUAUUGGAACAAUUUCUUUAAGCUUACCCAAAGUAAAAGGAACAAGCUGAUGCCUCUGGGCACAAGGAAUAUUUAAUGAUUCUACAAGGAUGGAUAUUGCUUCUACAAAAGCGACUGAGAAGAAGCCUCUCUUUUCUAUCCCAGGGUAUCAUCGGCUCCAGUGGCUUGGGAGUGGAAAAUGUAGGUUCAACCACCUUAUAGCACAGGAAUUAAUCUAUUCUAGUUGCACUUUUUUUUGCAUAAAUACUCAGAUAAGUCCACCUAUGGAAGAGAGCCACUGCUAAGGCCAUACUUUGUGGGAUGGACUGGCAAAAGGGCCUCACACCAAGGUGAAGUUGGGUAGUUUGAAAUAAAUACGGGAGUAGGGGACUCCCCACAGUCUAGAGAUGUGAUCUAAAUCUUAUCAGUUUCUGUUGGCUAACAUGUGCCACCUGUUUAGCUUGCUGGAUUUGGGGGAAUUGUAUGCUUGGAGCCCACAUUUUUGCGUGCAUUGCAUGUGAAGCAAUGCAUGCAACUAGCUGCAUAACUCGGGGCUGAGGUAUCCUGCCAGCUGGGUCCUUUAAUAAUGAGUUAAAACUUCCUUGUGAGCCUGGCUCCGGAUUUCACAUUUUCAGUCUCCACUGUAGAUGUCUGUAUUUCAGGAAGCAAAGACAUAAGAACUGUUGCUAUUUUAUAUUGUUGCUAAUAUGUCAAGGUUUCUGGACAUCUUCCAGAGGUGAGUGUUAGCUCAGUGGGUCAGUUGCCAAGAAAACUCCACUUCUUGCACAUACAGGUUUUACUUUUGUGAUUCAUAGUGUCAUUAUUUCAAUGGAUGUAGCCGUCACAAGAGAUUAUGGCCAGAUUUACACUGCCCUUCAGGUAACAUGAAUCUAGGGAGCUGAAGUCUUGAAUGGGAGCUGGUAUUUAUAGUCUAGUCAAACAAGACUUAGGCACCAAUUAAGUUCUCAGGCGAGCCCUCUCAGUGGAUGUUGUAUGUAACUGAAUGGCUAACUGGUCUGAAGCCAUUCAAGCUGGUGAUUAGGUAUAGAAGACUUUUGUCACCAGUCACAAAUUUAUGUGACCACAAAUGGACCGCAAGUCCCCAUGGGAGAGGACUGUCUGCAGUCACGCACAUGAAAGGAACUCUUUCCUAGCCACGACUCUGAGUAUUCACACGCAGAGCUCGACAUUUUCAGUGUUUAUUCAGCUUUUCAGGGGAAGAGGAGACAAACAGGUCCUUGUAAAAAAUGAAAAAAAUAUUGAAAGAAAAGAAACUGUUUGUUUAAAAAAAAAGACUGUCUUUUAGAAAAUUAACUUCAACAAAGCAUUUCAGCUCUUCAGAACGAUAUGAAAGUGAGUGAUUCAGUUCCAUAUGAAAAUAGUGUAUCAAAGAGAAGAAUAUUACCUUUAAUUGCUCCUCUGCCAUGCCAUUUCUGACUGCUUUCCAGAGUUUGAGAAACAUUCAGCAUCAGCAGGGUGAAUCAUCUGUGCUGCAUACAGCCCUGUUUGGCAAACUGCAGGCAACCGUCUCCUGGGACUCUGCUCCAGUUUGCACGUUUAUCCCUACUGGAGGCCCUAGCUAAAAUAAGGAACACCACAUCUGCAAUGUGCAUUUAUUCUUCUUCCUGACAAAAUAAGAGUAGAUGAAUAUAAAAUAGUCUUUGAAGGGCGGGAUGUUUGGGGAGUGAGGAUAUCUGAAAAAUAAUCUUUUAAACUUUCUGAAGGCUGGUGAAGAGCACGAGGCAGAAGUGUGGUCAGCAGAGGAAUUUAUGUGGAAACGUGCUGGAUUCCUUGCAGGAAACACAAAAGGGUUUAUAUAUUUGGAGUCAGAGGUUAAAUUAAGGGUGAACCCACUCUAGUGGAGUUUAUUCCUCACUUCUAAUUUGGGGAGUUUACUCACUUCUCACGAAUGCCAAAAUAAUAAAGUUUAUCCACACUUCAUUUUCUAUUACUCAGUCGUUUGCAGAGUCGCUAACCUGCCACUGUUUCUUUCUUAAAGAUACUGAAUUUAUCCCAGGACUAGAAGCUGACAUUCUAGGAAUUUUGUAGAAUGAAGUAUGCCAUCUACUAAGCAAAGUAACUGUAGUGGAAAAAAAAUGCCGUGUUUUCUAAGAGGCUGUUGAGCAGUGUGCAGCUAAAUCUGGCAAAGAACUGAAUGUUUGCAUUUUCCAUUGAUGUCAGCUCUCAGGACACGGUCUUAUAAAUGGGAAGCUGUCUGAAGAAGUAUUGCAGACUAGCAGUGAGUGGGUAGAUUUAAAAUAGAUUAAGAAAUUAAUGAUAUAAGGGAACACAUAACCUGAAAAGAUGAUAGUUUUAAUGUGUCUUGGUACUUUGCUAUGCAUUUAGAGUCACUCUACUAAGUGUAUUGGGUGGCUUUGCAAUGUUUAUAAUGAAAAAACUCUGCUACAUCAAUCCCACAACCCAGAAUUAUUUUAAUUGUUCUGAUAGGCAGGUAAUUUGGAGGUUCUAUUUCCCUUCAAAUGUCCUAAUAAAUGGAUAUGAUUCUAUAAUCAAUGUGAGCACAUCUCUAGUCACUCUUCUGUGACUACUUGAGAUUACCUGAUCUAGAGAGAUGGAAUGGCAUUGAUUCUGUUGCUUCCAAGGAUGCCUCACUGAAUCAGUCUGUUCCCUUCUUGACAGGCUGCUUUCUAUAUGUUAUCCCCUAUAACUGAACACACUGGACUUUGAACUGCCAACUCUAUCUAAAAUUUCAUGAAAUCUAUGUUAUCUGGAAUCAGUUCGUUCACUAAGUGGAAGUCACCUUGAAAUGCUCUGGAUGUCCUUGAUUCCCUCAAAUAUGCAUUUGAUUCCCUAAUUCAGUGAUUAUCGCUUGUAAUAACAUCAAGGGAACUACACAAGAAGACGAAAAGUGUUAAUGAUGGCUCACAAAGGGAGGUUUCCAGCAGCAGUUUGAUCAAAAGAAUCAAAGUCAGUUCCCAUUUAAGACCAGGAAUAAAUUGCGGAGCUCUUUUUAGCUAUUCCAGCUUGUGACUCACUGUGCAAAGCAGUGUUGGCUCUAAGAUAUCUUUCUUUUUC